This 720-nucleotide long non-coding RNA is filed under the name Cricetulus griseus (Chinese hamster). RNAcentral describes it as "lncRNA (ENSCGRG00015029228.1)". The record is from RNAcentral. Lineage: Eukaryota; Metazoa; Chordata; Mammalia; Rodentia; Cricetidae.
UCCAGAUCCUGUGCAAUUAUCCUCAGGCAUCAAUAGAAAGAAUCUCUGCUAUAGCAAAACUAAAAUGAGCAAUAACAAUAUAGACAGCUGCUUACUACAUUGUUGAUAAUCACCGAGAAAACAGCAUAUCAUGUUUGGCUGGACAUCUCUAAAGUUCUCUAAGUACAAGUUCUAAAUGUGGGCAAGAGUAUGGGAAAGAAAGACAAAGAAAGGAAUUGACAGACCAACCAACUGACCCGGGGGUUUCUUUGUUGUAACAGUCCCAGCUGCUCUGGAACUUGCUAAGUAGAUCAGGCUAGCUUCGAACUGACUGAAAUCCGACUGACUGCAUGUACCUCCCGAGUGCUAGGAUUAAAGUCCAGGAUCUCCUGCCCAGUGAAUGGUCCUGCCUACAAUUAAGAUGGGUCUUUCCACAUCAUUGAACCUAAUCAAGAUAAUCUCCCACAGGUUUUGAAAGGAGGUGAAAAGUGAGCAAGAGUUGUGAAGGAAGGGAAGAUGCUCUCUCAUGGUGAAGGAUGAAUGGAAUGAACUGCCAUGGUCUGUGCCCCUGGCAAAAUUGAGAUUGGAGAGAGCAAAGGCCUCUGCAGUCCAAGAGCGUGUAAUGGAAGAAUACAGAGAACACUGGAGUCUACAUUUUGCAAGGAAAUUACCAGCACACUCAUAAUUUAGAUGCACACCAAAGCCGUUAAAUAUAAAGAGGCAAUCAACAUUAUGAAGUCA